UACGUAGGGCGCAAGCGUUGUCCGGAAUUAUUGGGCGUAAAGAGCUCGUAGGCGGCUUGUCACGUCGGUUGUGAAAGCCCGGGGCUUAACCCCGGGUCUGCAGUCGAUACGGGCAGGCUAGAGUGUGGUAGGGGAGAUCGGAAUUCCUGGUGUAGCGGUGAAAUGCGUAGAGAUUGGGAAGAACACCGGUGGCGAAAGCGCUCUGCUGGGCCGUUGCUGACGCUGAGGCGCGACAGCGUGGGGAGCAAACAGGG
RNAcentral lists this ribosomal RNA (254 nucleotides) under uncultured bacterium. RNAcentral's name for it is "partial 16S ribosomal RNA". It matches the Rfam family "Bacterial small subunit ribosomal RNA", at positions 524 to 777 of the family's 1533-position model. The record is from RNAcentral.